This 496-nucleotide ribosomal RNA is filed under the name uncultured bacterium. RNAcentral's name for it is "partial 16S ribosomal RNA". It matches the Rfam family "Bacterial small subunit ribosomal RNA", at positions 28 to 507 of the family's 1533-position model. The record is from RNAcentral.
GAUGAACGCUGGCGGCGUGCCUAAUACAUGCAAGUCGAGCGAACAGACGAGGAGCUUGCUCCUCUGACGUUAGCGGCGGACGGGUGAGUAACACGUGGAUAACCUACCUAUAAGACUGGGAUAACUUCGGGAAACCGGAGCUAAUACCGGAUAAUAUAUUGAACCGCAUGGUUCAAUAGUGAAAGACGGUUUUGCUGUCACUUAUAGAUGGAUCCGCGCCGCAUUAGCUAGUUGGUAAGGUAACGGCUUACCAAGGCAACGAUGCGUAGCCGACCUGUGAGGGUGAUCGGCCACACAGAAACUGAGACACGGUCCAGACUCAUACGGGAGGCAGCAGUAGGGAAUCUUACGGAAUGGGCGAGAGCUUGACGGAGCAACGCGGCGUGAGUGAUGAAGGUCUGCGGAUCGUAAACUCUGUUAUUAGGGAAGAACAAAUGUGUAAGUAACUAUGCACGUCUUGACGGUACCUAAUCAGAAAGCCACGGCUAACUACGUG